RNAcentral lists this non-coding RNA (45 nucleotides) under Schistosoma curassoni. Lineage: Eukaryota; Metazoa; Platyhelminthes; Trematoda; Strigeidida; Schistosomatidae. The record is from RNAcentral.
AUCCAGCCGACGAGUCCCAAAUAGAACGAAACGCACGUCCUGGAU